This 985-nucleotide ribosomal RNA is filed under the name Triticum aestivum (bread wheat). RNAcentral describes it as "partial small subunit ribosomal RNA". The record is from RNAcentral. Lineage: Eukaryota; Viridiplantae; Streptophyta; Magnoliopsida; Poales; Poaceae.
CCUUUCCCUCGUCUGCCGCCGCCGCCACCGCCGGCGCCCAGGUGUGGCGCUGCUCUUCCCCACGGCCCUGACGGCAAGGUGGCGAAAAGGACGAGAUCCACCCGGACGAGGUUGAUGCGCCCCCUGCCACACUUCCUUCUCCAUCGCGUCACCAUAUUCGGAGGAACCAUGGCUGCUGCUCACGCAUCUGCUUUCCGCUCCUCCCGGAGUUGUCGCCAUCGGUAUGAGGGAGUGCCGGACCGCGCGCUAACUCGAGGACCGCCGCUCCGGCGGCCCGUUGUUUCUAGCCGUCGUCCGCCUCGUUGGCCCUCUUCCUGGCUUGCCCUCUAGUGCCCCAUCCAUUCGCUACCAGUCAGGCACCAGGGUAAAGCGAAGAAAAUUGUUUCAGCACAGUCCAUCUGGUUUGACAUUUUGAAGGCACAAAUAGAAACAAGAAAACCAUAUAUGAUAUAUAAGCUUCAGGUUGCCGGCACCUAGGAGGGACGGGAUAGCAAAAUCGGUGCUCAUCGAAGAUGGCGUUGAUGCCCCUUACGGCCUUACCCGACAACACAGUUCUACGGAAGCUUCUUCUAAGUGCCAAGUAAAUUUCCUUUUACAUGGAUAAUUAUGGUGAGUUGAUAGUUAAUUAUCUUACUUUUGCUCAUCAUGACCAGCGUAUACCAAGACACUUCUUCGUACGUGAUGGAUACACACGCACAGAGUGAGCUUUUCUCUGCGGUUCUGGUGACCUGCGCACAGGGUCUCCGUUCCAUGGUGUUGCCAACAAGCAAGAUGUGGAGACCUAUCAUGAGCCUCUCCUUUCACAUCAGAUUGUGUUCCAUCGAAAAAGCUUGGGUAUUCUUAUUCCAUCAAUUUUGGGAUGAUUGUCAAAAUCCCAGGAUAUGAUUUAGAACCUAACAUUAUAUCUUACUGUAUGAUACGACUGUCUAAUACUCAUAUUGUGAGGGACACGGGAAGAGUAGGUCGCUGGCGAUGAAAGCAUGUG